AGUGAAUGCUGGCGGUAGGCCUAACACAUGCAAGUCGAACGGCAGCACAGUAAGAGCUUGCUCUUACGGGUGGCGAGUGGCGGACGGGUGAGGAAUACAUCGGAAUCUACUUUUUCGUGGGGGAUAACGUAGGGAAACUUACGCUAAUACCGCAUACGACCUACGGGUGAAAGCAGGGGAUCUUCUGACCUUGCGCGAUUGAAUGAGCCGAUGUCGGAUUAGCUAGUUGGCGGGGUAAAGGCCCACCAAGGCGACGAUCCGUAGCUGGUCUGAGAGGAUGAUCAGCCACACUGGAACUGAGACACGGUCCCGACUCCUACGGGAGGACGCAGUGGGGAAUAUUGGACAAUGGGCGAAAGCCUGAUCCAGCAAUACCGCGUGGGUGAAGAAGGCCUUCGGGUUGUAAAGCCCUUUUGUUGGGAAAGAAAAGCAGCAGGUUAAUACCCCGCUGUUCUGACGGUACCCAAAGAAUAAGCACCGGCUAACUUCGUG
RNAcentral lists this ribosomal RNA (492 nucleotides) under uncultured bacterium. Its description in RNAcentral is "partial 16S ribosomal RNA". It matches the Rfam family "Bacterial small subunit ribosomal RNA", at positions 29 to 507 of the family's 1533-position model. The record is from RNAcentral.